GGAUUAGAUACCCGGGUAGUCCACGCCGUAAACGAUGGAUACUAGCUGUCGGGGGUAUCGACCCCCUCGGUAGCGAAGCUAACGCGUUAAGUAUCCCGCCUGUGGAGUACGGUCGCAAGACUAAAACAUAAAGGAAUUGACGGGGACCCGCACAAGCGGUGGAUCAUGUUCUUUAAUUCGAUGAUAAACGAAGAACCUUACCAGGGUUUGACAUCCCAAGAAUUUUGCCGAAAGGCGAGAGUGCUUUAUUGAACUUGGUGACAGGUGAUGCAUGGCCGUCGUCAGCUCGUGUCGUGAGAUUGUUUGGUUAAGUCCAUUAACGAGCGCAACCUUGCGAAUGUUGUUAUUUUUCUAUUCGGACUCGGACCCGGGUAAGGGG
RNAcentral lists this ribosomal RNA (379 nucleotides) under uncultured bacterium. RNAcentral's name for it is "bacterial SSU rRNA". It matches the Rfam family "Bacterial small subunit ribosomal RNA", at positions 775 to 1165 of the family's 1533-position model. The record is from RNAcentral.